AUUGAACGCUGGCGGCAGGCCUAACACAUGCAAGUCGAACGAGUGGCGGACGGGUGAGUAAUGUCUGGGAAACUGCCUGAUGGAGGGGGAUAACUACUGGAAACGGUAGCUAAUACCGCAUACCAUCAGAUGUGCCCAGAUGGGAUUAGCUAGUUGGUGGGGUAACGGCUCACCAAGGCGACGCUCCCUAGCUGGUAUGAGAGGGUGACCGGCAGCAUUGUGACGGAUACACUGUCCAGGCUGCUACGGAUGCCGGCAGUGGAGAAUGUGGUACAAUGGGGGCGAGGCCGAUGCACCCACGGCGUGUGUAUAAAGAAGGCCUUGGGGUUGGAAAGUACGGUCAGCUGGGGGGAGUUAACCGUAGAAGAAGAGCCGGGCAACUCCGUGCCAGCAGCCGCGGUAAUUC
RNAcentral lists this ribosomal RNA (406 nucleotides) under uncultured bacterium. RNAcentral's name for it is "partial 16S ribosomal RNA". It matches the Rfam family "Bacterial small subunit ribosomal RNA", at positions 29 to 526 of the family's 1533-position model. The record is from RNAcentral.